This is a non-coding RNA of Nicotiana tabacum (common tobacco), 636 nucleotides long. The record is from RefSeq and is a predicted model, not a curated record. NCBI's taxonomy places the organism in Eukaryota, Viridiplantae, Streptophyta, Magnoliopsida, Solanales, Solanaceae.
CUACACGCGUGCUGCUUAAAUUGGUGGCCAUAUCCUUUCUUGGAACUUAACACUCCAUGGGCACCUUUGUGGUAUCUUGGUUUGGCUGCGGUCCACAUCCCCUGUUACGGAAUAUAUGCUCUGCUAAUCAAAGCAAAGGGCCGACUGUUCUCGAGAAUGUUUCCACAGACAUUUCUUAGGUCAUAUUAUUGAUCUUCCUGCCAUUUAUGAAAAGGCAAAAAGGCCCAACAGCCCCUAAACUUGCAUCAGAUUUUAAAGCCGGAACAUCAACUUUGGUCCUUUACUUAAUGAUUGAGUACUAUUAAACACAUAUGACCUUCGUGGUGUUCAAUUGCUACUGAUGUGGAAACAACCUCUUUGAGCCGAGGGUCUCCUGGAAACAGCCUAUCUGUCCCUCGGGGUAGAGGUAAGGUCUGCGUACAUAUUACCCUCCCUAGACCCCACUUGUGGGAUUACACUGGGUUGUUGUUGUUGUUGUUGUUGUGGUGGUGGUGUUCAAUUGCUACUGAUGUGGACAAAGUUUAAUACUUUUUACUACCACAUCUUCCACUCAUUCAUAGUUUUUUGACACUUGUAAAUGUGGUCCUACUAAUUUUCUCCUAUCAUUACUUUGUGAUAUGUGUAUUUUGCAGGUCC